Non-coding RNA from Triticum urartu, 129 nucleotides. The record is from Rfam. NCBI's taxonomy places the organism in Eukaryota, Viridiplantae, Streptophyta, Magnoliopsida, Poales, Poaceae.
GUAAUACUCCAUCCGUCCGAAAAUACUUGUCAUAAAAAAAAAGAAAUAUAUCUAGACGUAUUUUAGUUUUAGAUGCAUCUCUUUUCAUCCAUUUUGAUUACAAGUAUUUUCGGACGGAGGGAGUAGGAG